This 577-nucleotide ribosomal RNA is filed under the name Raoultella sp. Its description in RNAcentral is "bacterial SSU rRNA". It matches the Rfam family "Bacterial small subunit ribosomal RNA", at positions 192 to 750 of the family's 1533-position model. The record is from RNAcentral. Lineage: Bacteria; Pseudomonadati; Pseudomonadota; Gammaproteobacteria; Enterobacterales; Enterobacteriaceae.
GUCGCAAGACCAAAGUGGGGGACCUUCGGGCCUCAUGCCAUCAGAUGUGCCCAGAUGGGAUUAGCUAGUAGGUGGGGUAAUGGCUCACCUAGGCGACGAUCCCUAGCUGGUCUGAGAGGAUGACCAGCCACACUGGAACUGAGACACGGUCCAGACUCCUACGGGAGGCAGCAGUGGGGAAUAUUGCACAAUGGGCGCAAGCCUGAUGCAGCCAUGCCGCGUGUAUGAAGAAGGCCUUCGGGUUGUAAAGUACUUUCAGCGAGGAGGAAGGCGUUAAGGUUAAUAACCUUAGCGAUUGACGUUACUCGCAGAAGAAGCACCGGCUAACUCCGUGCCAGCAGCCGCGGUAAUACGGAGGGUGCAAGCGUUAAUCGGAAUUACUGGGCGUAAAGCGCACGCAGGCGGUUUGUUAAGUCAGAUGUGAAAUCCCCGGGCUCAACCUGGGAACUGCAUUUGAAACUGGCAAGCUUGAGUCUUGUAGAGGGGGGUAGAAUUCCAGGUGUAGCGGUGAAAUGCGUAGAGAUCUGGAGGAAUACCGGUGGCGAAGGCGGCCCCCUGGACAAAGACUGACGCUCAG